GACGAACGCUGGCGGCGUGCUUAACACAUGCAAGUCGAACGGAAAGGCCCUGCUUUUGUUGGGUGCUCGAUUGGCGAACGGGUGAGUAACACGUGAGUAACCUGCCCUUGACUUUGGGAUAACUUCAGGAAACUGGGGCUAAUACCGGAUAGGAUCUCCUGCUGCAUGGUGGGGGUUGGAAAGUUUCGGCGGUUGGGGAUGGACUCGCGGCUUAUCAGCUUGUUGGUGGGGUAGUGGCUUACCAAGGCUUUGACGGGUAGCCGGCCUGAGAGGGUGACCGGCCACAUUGGGACUGAGAUACGGCCCAGACUCCUACGGGAGGCAGCAGUGGGGAAUAUUGCACAAUGGGCGGAAGCCUGAUGCAGCAACGUCGCGUGCGGGAUGACGGCCUUCGGGUUGUAAACCGCUUUCGCCUGUGACGAAGCGUGAGUGACGGUACUGGGUAAAGAAGCACCGGCUAACUACGUG
RNAcentral lists this ribosomal RNA (468 nucleotides) under uncultured bacterium. RNAcentral's name for it is "partial 16S ribosomal RNA". It matches the Rfam family "Bacterial small subunit ribosomal RNA", at positions 28 to 507 of the family's 1533-position model. The record is from RNAcentral.